Molecule: ribosomal RNA, 433 nt
Filed under: uncultured bacterium
Lineage: Bacteria
Description: partial 16S ribosomal RNA
Rfam family: Bacterial small subunit ribosomal RNA
Source: RNAcentral
AACGAACGCUGGCGGCAUGCCUAACACAUGCAAGUCGAACGAAGGCUUCGGCCUUAGUGGCGCACGGGUGCGGAACGCGUGGGAAUCUGCCCUUGGGUUCGGAAUAACAGCUGGAAACGGCUGCUAAUACCGGAUGAUGACGAAAGGCCAAAGAUUUAUCGCUAGAGGAUGAGCGCGCGAUGGAUUAGGUAGUUGGUGGGGUAAAGGCCGACCAAGCCGAGGAUCCCUAGCUGGUCUGAGAGGAUGAUCAGCCACACUGGGACUGAGACACGGCCCAGACUCCUACGCAAGGGUGCAGUGGGGAGUAUUGGAGGAUGAGGGCAAGUCUGAUCCCGCAAUGCCGCGUGAGUCGUGAAGGGCGUAGGGUUGUAAAGCUGUUUUACCCGAGAAGAUAAUGACGGUACCGGGAGAAUAAGCACCGGCUAACUACGUG